AUGACCAAAUACGGCAAGGCCCCACUGACAGACUCUUCAGUGCGUGAGUCACAGAGAAAAAUCCCUCUGCAAGCUCCCGAUGGUGCCCGGAGCCCCAGGGCUCGGAACCACUGUAUUCUUCCUUCCACAACAGGAAUUCCAACAAACAAACAAAAAAAUCUCUUCCUUAAAAUGACAAACCAGAAACACAAGUUGGAGAAAGGUCGCUGCAAUGAAAGAAAGGGAGGGAGGGAGGGAGGGAGGGAGGGAGGGAGGGAGAGAAGAAAGAAGAAGAAAGAAAGAAGAAAGAAAGAAAGAAAGAAAAGGAAGGAAGAAGAAAGAAAAGGAAGGAAGAAGAAAGAAAGAAAAAGAAGAAGAAGAAAGAAAGAAAGAAAAGGAAGAAAGAAAAGGAAGGAAGAAGAAGAAAGAAAGAAAGAAAGAAAGAAAGAAAGAAAGAAAAGAAAAAGAAAAAAGGGAGGGAGGAGGGAGGGAGAGAAGAAAAAAGAAGAAGAAAGAAAGAAAGAAAGAAGAAAGAAAGAAAGAAAGAAGAAGAAAGAAAAAAGGGAGGGAGGGAGGGAGGGAGAGAAGAAAGAAAGAAAAGAAAGAAAGAAAGAGAAAGAAAGAAAGAAAAGGAAAGAAAGAAAGAAAGAAAGAAGAAGAAAGAAAAGGAAAGAAAGAAAGAAAAGGAAGGAAGAAGAAAGAAAAAGAAAGAAAGAAAGAAAAGGAAAGAAAGAAAAGGAAAGAAAGAGAAGAAAGAAGAAGAAAGAAAAGAAAAGAAAGAAAGAAAGAAAGAAAGAAAAAGAAGAAAGAAAGAAGAAAGAAGAAAGAAAGAAAAGGAAGGAAGAAGAAAGAAAAGAAAGAAAGAAGAAGAAAGAAAAGGAAGGAAGAAGAAAGAAAGAAAGAAAAGAAAGAAAGAAAAGGAAGGAAGAAGAAAGAAAAGAAAAAGAAAAAAGGGAGGGAGGGAGGAGGGAGGCUGUUAAGAUCUCUACCUGCCUGUCUGACACGGAAAGCCAUCGCUGCUACAAAUUGCAUACCAGAUGCUGGGUUGUUCGAAUUUCAGGAAAAGAAGUCGGUUUUUUGUUUUUUUUUUUUUAA
Molecule: long non-coding RNA, 1074 nt
Filed under: Felis catus (domestic cat)
Lineage: Eukaryota; Metazoa; Chordata; Mammalia; Carnivora; Felidae
Description: lncRNA (ENSFCAG00000050936.1)
Source: RNAcentral